UUGUGUCUUGACUUUGGCUUCAAGACCCAAGAUGUUAUGACUGCAGCGAAACUUCUUGAUGAUGCAGAAGUUAAGCAGGUCGAGGAAUAUGGUUUUUCAACUUUCCUAAACCUACAGUUGAGAACAAUCUGCGAGCGCAAGGAAACCAAUUUUUGUAUGAAACUAGUUGAUCUUGAAGAGAAUAGGAUCAAAGUGCAACUACAGAAAGAUGUAACUGUAUACAUCACACCGGAGGAGAUCCAUCAUCUCUUGAGACUGCCCCGUGGUGAUAAGGCCCCCCUUAAAUACAAUAAGCAACAACAGAAAGACUUUGCUAAAAUGCGAACUGAAUUGGGGAUCCAAAAAUGUCGUUGGAAAUUGCAGAUAUAUUGGCGUUGA
RNAcentral lists this ribosomal RNA (378 nucleotides) under Triticum aestivum (bread wheat). RNAcentral's name for it is "partial small subunit ribosomal RNA". Lineage: Eukaryota; Viridiplantae; Streptophyta; Magnoliopsida; Poales; Poaceae. The record is from RNAcentral.